UUUCCAUUCAGUUUGAUUACAGAGAAACUAAUCGAGUGGCACACCGCCUCGUUUGGCUCUCACUUUACCAGCAACAUCAUCAUGGCUUCAGGAUCCUCCUGAUGCUGUGUGUGAUGUUUUUGUUUGAAGGGAACAGUGAAGGUGCGGUUUUGGGGAGUCAAAUCGCACCAUGUAUUGAUUUCUUCUCCAGAUCUAAGGAAUCUCUCCUGCCAUUCCAUUAUCACAAAGUAUUAUCCUUCUUCACAUUCAGUUAAAUAUAUUAAGCCAAAAAAAAACAAAAAAACAGAGAGAAAUCAAUAUAUGAUGUGUGGGUGUUGAAGAAAGAGAUUGCUCUGCUCUUGCAUGUGGUGGAUGAGUUGCAGAACACCAUAGAGGAAGAGCAGAAGAGUUUGAAUGAGGAGAAAGAGCACAAACACGGAAUGGAGGAUGCAAGUGGGGGCUCGGAGCCCAUGCAUGUUGAUUAGAGUAUGCAUCUCUUGGUUUUGCAAUUGUAAGAUUGUGUUUUCAUGAAUGGGUUUCUAUCCAUAUCUCUCUUGAUUUACAGAAACAGGAAUGUAGAGUGGUGCUCUACAGUUGCAAUAUGUCAGCGAUAUUUUGAAUUUCUUAAUUUUGUGCAACUUGUAGAUUUUCUUGCAUACUGCUUCACCAAGUUCACAUGAUAGGUAGAACUUUGCCAGAACUUCUUUCUGCAUCAAUUUCAGUGUAGUUAAUUGUAUAAACCUAAUGCCUGUGUACAUUACAUUUAAGUGUAAUAUUACAGUUUGCAUCCAGAUAAAUAUUGAGAAGUCGGAAUUAUGCAUA
This is a non-coding RNA of Prunus mume (Japanese apricot), 801 nucleotides long. NCBI's taxonomy places the organism in Eukaryota, Viridiplantae, Streptophyta, Magnoliopsida, Rosales, Rosaceae. The record is from RefSeq and is a predicted model, not a curated record.